Molecule: long non-coding RNA, 803 nt
Organism: Toxorhynchites rutilus septentrionalis
Lineage: Eukaryota; Metazoa; Arthropoda; Insecta; Diptera; Culicidae
Exons: 3
Source: RefSeq, a predicted model, not a curated record
CAAUGUGGGCUGUCACGUGACCCACUCCGGCCGGCGGGACUCCCUAGCGUCCAGUCCAGUGAAUGGGACCGAAAACAUUGCUAGGAUCUCGAUCUGCACGACUGUCAUCAUGUUGUAAUCCGCUUUCCGGUGUGUGUUUUUGUGUAUAUUUUAAAAAUUUUCCAAUUGAAACUAUAGAGGCGUUGAAAUUUAUUUUCGGUGACCCUUUUUUGAAUUUUGUAACGUUCCGAACGAUGGGAUUAAAUCCGGUUUCUCACUUACCAAAUCCAUCAUUGGAGCGUGUAAAUUUUCCAUAACAAUGGCGACUUUUGACACGCGAUUUAAUUUUGUGCACAAACAGGAUGAAAUUGAUACGCCUUGUGCUGGUGGCCGAACCCGCAUUUUUAAUCGGAAGGCUGGGAAAAACAUGGGACAUGGAACAUGGGACAUUACGCUGUUCAAUUUUGAAUACAUUUGACGUUUGACGGAACAGCAUAAAUAUCACCGCUGAAGAGACUGUGUCCCAUGGCGGAAGAGAGAGCAAACUACUCCUGACUGACAGGGGGGUUCCUCCUGUUGGAAUUGAUUUUCCACCGACAAACAGCGCCGGAGGAACGCAGGAUUUCUGUAGCUGUCACGUGACGGGCGCGAGUUUGAGAUGAAGCGUUAGCUGACACGUGUCCGGCGAUGAACACAAUUGGGGAAGAAAACAGCUACAACUACCGAGCGCACCGGGAUCUCUUCGGAUGGGGAAAUCAUCAUAUUUUCAUGUUCAUCUUUGACGCGGGGUGAAGACGAGCUGACUGAUGGAACAGCGGUGGAAU